Molecule: long non-coding RNA, 821 nt
Filed under: Bemisia tabaci
Lineage: Eukaryota; Metazoa; Arthropoda; Insecta; Hemiptera; Aleyrodidae
Description: lncRNA ENSSWEETPG012468
Source: RNAcentral
CAUACUUAAUGAGUGCUUUCAUUCAUAAUUGAUUCAGCGGCCCAUCGAAUUCACGCAAGUAUGUAGCAAUGUAAUUACCCACACGAGAUAUAUAUCAGGAAUUAGUAUCCUUAGACUCAAUCUGAAUCCGGUCAAAAGUUUUACAACCUUCUAACGGAUAUGAGCUCCUCUUCCAGCAUCACAUCUGACUGAGUAAACUUAUUUCUUGAAAACUUCUUCUUUUAGAAAACGGUAGCCUCUAAGUCCGUAACAUUGGACGAUUUCAAAAAUGUCUGCUGGAUUCAUUGAGCUCAAGCGGUAUGGAGACCGAUCUACGCAACUCAGUAUUUCAUCUCAUGAGAUCCAUUCAUAAUUCACAAGACGUUUGUAGUUACAAAGAUAAGGAACCUCUGGAGUACUUAAAGAAGGCUCAGAUGCUUUGGGAGAAACGAAUACACAAGUCCCUGAACUCUAUGAGUGCUGACAUCAACAGUCUCUCAUUGGCACGGUUCCGGCUCGCGUCUGACAGAGAUGAGAUACUUGAAAAAUGGAAGGAGCUCAGCACCUACGAGAUAGGAUCAACGAUUGGAACAUGGGAAUUCACACACCUUAGUUUGAAAGUGAAGAGUUUUGCAGAGCUGUUAUUGCAUUCAAUCAUGCGCCUGCAGCUCAGGAGUAUCUGAAGAAGGGAGCUCCCCUGUGCAUAAGAGCCAGGAUUUGGACACAACUCCUAGGAUCAACCGUUACGCAGAGGUACCGCAGAAUGAAUGUUUUGCUGUUUCUGUAUCUGAAAUACUCGUAUUUUGUAAUGCCUGUUUCUCGCUUUUUAUAUCUCUAGGUAU